RNAcentral lists this small RNA (41 nucleotides) under Chaetoceros neogracilis. Its description in RNAcentral is "partial Mitochondrion-encoded tmRNA". Lineage: Eukaryota; Bacillariophyta; Thalassiosirophyceae; Chaetocerotales; Chaetocerotaceae. The record is from RNAcentral.
CCAGAAAGUGCUAUUUCAGAUUUAGAGUCAAUUUUAAUUAA